AAUAGGAGAAUGAUAAAUCAGAUUUUUCGCUCAUAAUUUUCAGCUUUUUCCUCCUUAAAAAAAAUUAAAUCCAAUUAAAAAUGCUAUUGGAAAGGGAUAAAUCUGAUUUGUCGUUCUCCUAUU
Non-coding RNA from Gossypium raimondii (Peruvian cotton), 123 nucleotides. Lineage: Eukaryota; Viridiplantae; Streptophyta; Magnoliopsida; Malvales; Malvaceae. The record is from Rfam.